GACGAACGCUGGCGGCGCGCUUAACACAUGCAAGUCGAACGGAAAGGCCCUGCUUUUGUGGGGUGCUCGAGUGGCGAACGGGUGAGUAACACGUGAGUAACCUGCCCUUGACUUUGGGAUAACUUCAGGAAACUGGGGCUAAUACCGGAUAGGAGCUCCUGCUGCAUGGUGGGGGUUGGAAAGUUUCGGCGGUUGGGGAUGGACUCGCGGCUUAUCAGCUUGUUGGUGGGGUAGUGGCUUACCAAGGCUUUGACGGGUAGCCGGCCUGAGAGGGUGACCGGCCACAUUGGGACUGAGAUACGGCCCAGACUCCUACGGGAGGCAGCAGUGGGGAAUAUUGCACAAUGGGCGGAAGCCUGAUGCAGCAACGCCGCGUGCGGGAUGACGGCCUUCGGGUUGCAAACCGCUUUCGCCUGUGACGAAGCGUGAGUGACGGUAAUGGGUAAAGAAGCACCGGCUAACUACGUG
RNAcentral lists this ribosomal RNA (468 nucleotides) under uncultured bacterium. Its description in RNAcentral is "partial 16S ribosomal RNA". It matches the Rfam family "Bacterial small subunit ribosomal RNA", at positions 28 to 507 of the family's 1533-position model. The record is from RNAcentral.